Long non-coding RNA from Zonotrichia leucophrys gambelii, 284 nucleotides. RefSeq lists it as uncharacterized. The transcript is spliced from 3 exons. The record is from RefSeq and is a predicted model, not a curated record. Lineage: Eukaryota; Metazoa; Chordata; Aves; Passeriformes; Passerellidae.
AGCAGGAACAGCACUGCUGAGAAGAGCUGUGUGUGAGAAAGCCACUCAGAAGGUUGUCCUGUCACAGAAGAGGCAUGUGGCAUCUGGAUCCCAGUGUGAACACCUGCUGCCAGGGCCAGGUGCAGAACAGGAUGUCUGCUCCAGGAGUGAUGUAUGUUCUGAGAAGGUCCUGCUGCCUGAGAGGAUUCUCCAAAUGGCUUUCCACUGUACCUGCUGGUCAUGAGGAAUACCCUCAGGUGGAAUGCUGUGAAAGGGCACAUGAUGCACACAAUCCAUAUUAGAAC